UAAAAGAAAAGAGUGCCAGAGAAAAUGUCCCCGCAUAUACCCAUUACGACUCAGGCUGCAAAGCCCACAUCAUUGCCUUCUCUUUUAUCUCCGAUUCGCAGUAAUGCUGGACUCAGGGCACCAUCCGAUCGUUUUUCUCUGAAAUCGUCCUUCUUUUCUCCUUCGCUCCACCUCUUACUUGCUUCUAAUCAACAUCAGCAACCUCUUGCAUCUUCAGCUCCAAGAUUCUCCAUGCCUGUUGCCUCCAAGCAAGCCUAUAUUUGUCGCGAUUGCGAGUGCUUAUUUUCUUUGAUGAGUUGUUGGCUGUUUCGUGAUUUAAUUCUGUUCUUUGCAAAAUUUAAUAGAUGAAUAGACUGUAAAUUGGUAUAACUCUGGUGAUUGUAGGUAUAUUUACAAUGAAAGGACUCCCUUCGAGAAACUGCCUGACAGUUUGUGGUGCUCCUAAAAGGAGAUUUAGGCCAUAUGCACCAUCUGUGACCAAAAAUGCUAAUGAAACAGAUGUUAGAAAAGCCCGCAAAGCGCAAAUCCAGAGAGAUGAAGCAAUUGGGUGAGCAUUGCCAAUUGCAAUUAGAGUCGGAGUUGCGGCCCUUGCGGGUUUAUAUUUCUACCUCAAUAGCACAUUCCAAGGUUGAACGGCAGCAAUUCCACAUAGGAACUAUGGUACUAGAGUGUUAACAGGUGAAUGCUUAAGUUCAUAGAGUAGAGCAGUUCUUGUAAUUUUAUUCCAUUUAGGGAACGCCUAUACAAUGUUAUUCUUUUCUUCCAUCCUAAGAUUGAGAAAUGUAAUCUUUUAAUUAUCUUGAGCUAUACUGAAAAUCUAGGAAUUUUAAGAGCUGCAAGUUGAUAAA
RNA transcript from Hevea brasiliensis (rubber tree), 848 nucleotides. RefSeq lists it as uncharacterized. The transcript has 3 exons. The record is from RefSeq and is a predicted model, not a curated record. NCBI's taxonomy places the organism in Eukaryota, Viridiplantae, Streptophyta, Magnoliopsida, Malpighiales, Euphorbiaceae.